Molecule: ribosomal RNA, 510 nt
Filed under: uncultured bacterium
Lineage: Bacteria
Description: partial 16S ribosomal RNA
Rfam family: Bacterial small subunit ribosomal RNA
Source: RNAcentral
AUUGAACGCUGGCGGCAUGCCUUACACAUGCAAGUCGAGCGGCAGCGCGGGGGCAACCCUGGCGGCGAGCGGCGAACGGGUGAGUAAUACAUCGGAACGUGUCCAGUAGCGGGGGAUAACCUGUCGAAAGAUAGGCUAAUACCGCAUACGACCUACGGGUGAAAGCGGGGGACUCUCGGGCAACUGAGGGCCUCGCACUAUUGGAGCGGCCGAUGUCGGAGUAGCUAGUUGGCGGGGUAACGGCCCACCAAGGCGACGAUCCGUAGCUGGUCUGAGAGGACGACCAGCCACACUGGAACUGAGACACGGUCCAGACUCCUACGGGAGGCAGCAGUGGGGAAUUUUGGACAAUGGGCGCAAGCCUGAUCCAGCCAUGCCGCGUGAGUGAAGAAGGCCUUCGGGUUGUAAAGCUCUUUCGGCGGGGACGAAACGGUCCGUGACAACACCACGGACUAAUGACGGUACUCGCAGAAGAAGCACCGGCUAACUACGUGCCAGCAGCCGCCGUAA